This 491-nucleotide ribosomal RNA is filed under the name uncultured bacterium. Its description in RNAcentral is "partial 16S ribosomal RNA". It matches the Rfam family "Bacterial small subunit ribosomal RNA", at positions 30 to 508 of the family's 1533-position model. The record is from RNAcentral.
AUUGAACGCUGGCGGCAGGCCUAACACAUGCAAGUCGAACGGUAACAGGAAACAGCUUGCUGUUUCGCUGACGAGUGGCGGACGGGUGAGUAAUGUCUGGGAAACUGCCUGAUGGAGGGGGAUAACUACUGGAAACGGUAGCUAAUACCGCAUAACGUCGCAAGACCAAAGAGGGGGACCUUCGGGCCUCUUGCCAUCGGAUGUGCCCAGAUGGGAUUAGCUAGUAGGUGGGGUAACGGCUCACCUAGGCGACGAUCCCUAGCUGGUCUGAGAGGAUGACCAGCCACACUGGAACUGAGACACGGUCCAGACUCCUACGGGAGGCAGCAGUGGGGAAUAUUGCACAAUGGGCGCAAGCCUGAUGCAGCCAUGCCGCGUGUAUGAAGAAGGCCUUCGGGUUGUAAAGUACUUUCAGCGGGGAUGAAGGGAGUAAAGUUAAUACCUUUGCUCAUUGACGUUACCCGCAGAAGAAGCACCGGCUAACUCCGUGC